CGAGGUCUGUAAUAGACACCUCAAACUCCAGGAUGCAGGGCUCACCGGGGAGCUGGUUCUGGCAUUCACGGAGCCCCUCGCGGUCGAUAGAGGUCUCCGUGGUGAAGAUGUCUCCCGUCUUGCCAUCCACCCGCAGCCAUUAUUGUCUGCUCCAAUCCUGUGGCAAUGAAUCACUGAGCUCUCUGGGACACCGCACUCCUGCCUGUGUUGUUCAACCCCAGUACUGUGCACCUAUUCCUGCGUUCUCUGGCUCUCCAGGCAAACGCCAAACUUCCUGAAGGUAGGGCCAGGCUCCCUACAUUCAUCUCCCUGCCCCAACCCACGCACCUUCACAAUGCUGGGCACCAUGCAUUCAACAAAUGUUUAUUGUGACUUACAACGUGCCAGGCUCUGUCCCAGGCACUGGGACACAACAGCAUACAAGAUAGACUCAGUCUGCUACCGUGGAGCUCACAACAGUUCUACCUCAAUGACUAUUUGUCAAUCUUGUUUGGUUGUAAUCAUUUGGCACAUGUAAGGCUGCGGGAUGGAGAAGACAUCAGACAGUCUGAGGUGAACCCUAACUGUCCAUUUCCUGGCUGCUGAGCAGGAGGAAAUGAUUUAGAGCUUCAGUUUCCUUAUCUGUAAAAUGGGAAUAAUACUACCUAUUGUCUAGGGAGUUUGAAAUUUUGUGGGCUAAAUGCCUAGCACACAGUAAAUAGUCAACAAAUGCUCCCUCAAAGCACCUACAA
Felis catus (domestic cat) is the source of this 731-nucleotide long non-coding RNA. RefSeq lists it as uncharacterized. Lineage: Eukaryota; Metazoa; Chordata; Mammalia; Carnivora; Felidae. The record is from RefSeq and is a predicted model, not a curated record. The transcript is spliced from 2 exons.